UAUCUCAUUAACUUAAACCAUUUUUAUUAAGGAUUGUAGAUCAAGAUUAACACAACAUUGGCCAACUAAGGAUGAACGAAAAGUUCAUUUGUGCUACUUGUCUAUAUCUACAUUCAUUGUCAAAGUUGAAUGCGGAACUUAAUUUGCAAAUGCACAGAAUAGGGAACUUUUACUCUUGAGAUGAACUAAUGACAUGUCUAUUGGGCUGAAGUGCUAAUCUGUCUAGAGAAUAUAUACCAAUUUACAGCAAAUACAACAACCUAAUAGAGAGGAAGAUGAUGAUCUUCUAUAGCUUAACAUGAAUGACACAUAGAGCAUACUAUUUUCUGUUUAUUCUCAACCAUGGAAGUCAUAAGAUUAAACUUGUAAUUAAUAGUCAUGUUAUUUUAUAUUUAGCUCCUUUAAUAGCCAUGUCAGCACGGGGUGUCUGCGAGACACACUUAUGCCAACAAGAGGUGUUUAUCUAGUCACUUGGAUAGUUAAAGUGUUUAACUAAACGUUGGUGCCAAGUUUAAAGGGUUAUCCAAAUAUUUGGCCUUCCUGUAUUUUCGUAACGAUUGAAGUCAGAAGAUUAAACUUAUAAUAGUCAUGAUAUUUAUAUGUCGUCUAGCAAAUUUCGAAAUUCCUAAGUUCUACCCAAAAGCACCCAAUUCCACAAUGAAAAACCUUAGAUUCUAGGAUGAAAUCUUGUAAAAAGAUGUAAUAAAUUGAAAGAAAUGAGUUAAAAAUCAUUUACCUGUGAUUUGGGGAAGAAAUAGCCCUAGGAAAAUUGCCUCUUGAAGUUUAGAUUUUGAAAAUUGGGAGAAGGAAUGAAAAAUCCCGUCUAAGUCUAAAGUUAUCAGCUGUAGAUGUCGCAUUUACGACCUGCGAGAAAGGCAUCGCAAAUGCGAACCUGUCGCAUUUCUGCUGCUAUCGCAAAUGCAAACCAUUUGGUCGCAAAUGCGAAGGUCCCUCCCCCAGACCCAAUUCGCAAAUGCGAAGGGCUGUUCGCAUUUGCGAACAUGGGCUGGCCCAGCUUCUCUUCGCAUUUGCGAUGAGAAGCUCGCGAAUGCGACCUCAUCAGUAGUCGUAAAUGCGAUCCUUGACCUUGCAUUUGCGAGGUUUGAGGCCUGGAACAAGUUCAGCUAUACCAGCAAUAAUUUCAUAGUUCCAAAUCACUCUAUAGCCUAUCCGUAACUCGCCCGAGCCCUCGGGGCUCCAAACCAAACAUGCACGCAAGUCGUAAAACAUCAUACAAACUUGCUCGUGCGAUCAAAUCGCCAAAAUAAUAUCUAAAACUACGGAUUUAACACCAAAACACAUGAAAUCCUUAAGAACACUUGAAAUUUCUAUUUCACAACCGGACAUCCGAAUCACGUCAAAUUAGUCAUGUUUCUCACCAAAUUCCACAAACAUGACUUAAGAUAUUAAACCUGUAACAGGCUCCAGAACCAAAAUACGGGCCCGAUACCAACAAGAUCAAUCAUUAUUCAAUUUCUUUAAAUCCUUAGAUUUUCAGUUUAACAAUUUUUAAUAAAAAUUCAUUACUCGGACUAGAGACCUUGGAAUUUGAUUCCGGGCAUACGCCCAAGUCCCAUAUUUACUACGGACCCUCUAGGACCGUCAAAUUACGGAUCCAGGUCCGUUCACUCAAAAUGUUGAUCAAAUCAGCUAAAAUCACUUUUAAAGGCAAAAAUUAUUAUUUUCUCAAAUUUUCACAUACAAGCUUUCCGGAAAUGCGCCCGGAGUACGCACGCAAAUCGAGAAAAAGUAAGAUGAGAUUUUGAAGGCCUCGGAACUCCGAAUUGCGUUAUAAAACACGAGAUGACCUUUUGGGUCAUCACACAGAGCCAUCCCAUUUUAAUGGGCAUACCAUACUUUGAAUACCUAUCCUUCGUCAUAAGACUCAUUCGGAAUAAUCAAGUUUAUAGGAGAUAACCCGAAAUAUAGAAAUUAGGAAUUUUGGCUGCCAUCUAUACUUGAACUUAUGGAAACACUAUGGAAUUCAAUCCUGAGAGAGAAAGUUUAGCCAACAUAACAAUCACUUCCUCCUUCAACAAACUUCAACAAAAAACUACCCAAAAUUGUUAAUUAAUCCCAUAUACCAUAAUCUAGUGUUACAUGCAUGGCCUAUUUCCAACCCCACAAUAUAUUUAUACUCUUAACCUCUUGCAUGUAAGCUUAGGAGUAGGACUUACCUGGAUAAAUGAUAAUCGAAUGGCUAGCUUCCUUGAUUCUUGAAGAUUUGAGCAAGAUUGGAUGAUUGGAAUGCUAGGUUCCCUCUUUCCCUCUCUAAGUUGCUCUUACCUCUAUCUAAAACUAUCAGAUAAACGUCCAAAAAUAAGUCUCAAAGGUUAUUUAUCAAAAUAGGGCCAGAUUAUAAAAAUGGAAAAAUAGACUCUCCGACUCAGAUCUGCGGCCGUAGAAUGGAACGCAUAACAGGUAUGCGGCCCGCAAAAUGGACCGCGAAAAUUAUGCCCAGGAACUGGCUGCACUGGACCGGUCUGCGACAGGUCUGUGGUCCACAGACCACUUAUGUGACCGCAGAAUAGCCCAACGAAAUUUCCUCAUCCUAGCCCUGCGACAGAAGUGCGGACCACGAAACAAGUAUGUGAUCGCACAAUGGACCGUGAAACAACCCUCAAAGUUCAACAAUUUCUCUGCUCGACUGUCGGAUGAUUAUGCGGCCCGCGAAACGGUUCUGCGGUCGCGAAAUGGAUCGCAAAAUUGCCUUCUUUUGUCAAUAAUUUUAAUCCACUCCUCAGUGCAUUCCUCAACCCAAAAAGUCCAUAUCGCGGCGAGCUUGCUCACCGCGAAGAUAAAUUUUACUACUUCUGAACACUUUAGUCUAACUCGACACCGCCAAAGCUUAAAUUCUAUAGCGAAAUUUUUCGAGGCCUUACAUUAGUAAACUAAAAGGAAAGCUUAAACUUAAUUCAUUUUUAAACUAAUGAAUUUCUUAUAUUUAAUUAACUUUAAUUUUACAAUCAUUUCAUAUGUUUACUUCACUAUUACUAAAAUCAUACUAGCUACAUCACAUUCCAUAAGUUUACCCACAGGCUUCAUUGUUAUCAUACAAAAGAAACAGUCAUAAUUAACAAAUAUUUGAACUAUUUUAACAUAUAAAAAUUAAAGAAUUCAAGUAGCAUAUAAAAAUUAAGGUAUUUAAUUUAAAUAGAAUAAUUAUUUAAUAUAAAGUAAAAGGAAUUCAAAUAUUUGGGAACUACAAUAUCAAUUAUGCAAAAAAAUUGACUAAUCUACAAGAAUAAUUUAAUAAUUUACCAACUAAUUUCUAACAAUUCUAACUAAUUUUCCUAGUAAUUAAGCCAUAGAAAAAUUUCCCAAAAGUUAAAACUAACCUUACUAUGAAGAAAUCUACAGCUGAACGAGGUGAAGAUGGUGGUGGUCUCUACAACCCAAAGCUUGUGGAGAUGCUGGCCGCUACAAAAAAAAGUUAGGGUUUGAUCCUUGAAUUCUGCCGCGACCAUGGAGAAUUCUAGGGUUCCGCGCAACAGAGAAGAAGAAAAGAGGAGAAAGAGCAAUCUCUUGGAGAGGGGAGAUGAUUGAAGUGUGGAGAAGCUCAUUUUCCGAUGGGCGGAGGUGGGAGGUGGGAGGCGGAGGUAAAAUGAGAGGAGGAAAAAGAAGAAAGAGAGGAAGAGAACAAAAGAGGGACGGGGUGGGGUUUU
This 3665-nucleotide long non-coding RNA is filed under the name Nicotiana tabacum (common tobacco). RNAcentral's name for it is "long non-coding RNA (NTAB_LNC008080)". The record is from RNAcentral. Lineage: Eukaryota; Viridiplantae; Streptophyta; Magnoliopsida; Solanales; Solanaceae.